Molecule: ribosomal RNA, 598 nt
Filed under: Trichosporon asahii
Lineage: Eukaryota; Fungi; Basidiomycota; Tremellomycetes; Trichosporonales; Trichosporonaceae
Description: partial large subunit ribosomal RNA
Rfam family: Eukaryotic large subunit ribosomal RNA
Source: RNAcentral
AAACUAACAAGGAUUCCCCUAGUAACGGCGAGUGAAGCGGGAAGAGCUCAAAUUUGAAAUCUGGCAGUCUUCGAUUGUCCGAGUUGUAAUCUAUAGAGGCGUUUUCCGUGCCGGACCGUGUCCAAGUCUCCUGGAAAGGAGUAUCAAAGAGGGUGAUAAUCCCGUACUUAACACGACCACCGGUGCUCUGUGAUACGUCUUCUACGAGUCGAGUUGUUUGGGAAUGCAGCUCAAAAUGGGUGGUGAAUUCCAUCUAAAGCUAAAUAUUGGCGAGAGACCGAUAGCGAACAAGUACCGUGAGGGAAAGAUGAAAAGCACUUUGGAAAGAGAGUUAAACAGUACGUGAAAUUGUUGAAAGGGAAACGAUUGAAGUCAGUCGUGUUCUUUGGAUUCAGCCAGUUCUGCUGGUCUACUUCCUUGGAACGGGUCAACAUCAGUUUUGUCCGGUGGAUAAAGGUAGUAGGAAUGUGACUUCUCCGGAAGUGUUAUAGCCUAUUAUCACAUACACUGGGUGAGACUGAGGACUGCAGCUCGCCUUUAUGGCCGGCCUUCGGGCACGUUCGAGCUUAGGAUGUUGACAUAAUGGCUUUAAACGACC